GCGGGUAUGGCGGAAUUGGUAGACGCGCGCGUUUACCAAAGCAUUCGGGCUCCGAGUGCUUUAUAAGCGUGUGAGGUAACCCCUCGUGUGAGUUCAAGUCUCACUACCCGCACCA
RNAcentral lists this transfer RNA (115 nucleotides) under Thalassobaculum litoreum DSM 18839. Its description in RNAcentral is "tRNA_Pseudo_ACC". It matches the Rfam family "tRNA". From Rfam's summary of the family: Transfer RNA (tRNA) molecules are approximately 80 nucleotides in length. Their secondary structure includes four short double-helical elements and three loops (D, anti-codon, and T loops). Further hydrogen bonds mediate the characteristic L-shaped molecular structure. tRNAs have two regions of fundamental functional importance: the anti-codon, which is responsible for specific mRNA codon recognition, and the 3' end, to which the tRNAs corresponding amino acid is attached (by aminoacyl-tRNA synthetases). tRNAs cope with the degeneracy of the genetic code in two manners: having more than one tRNA (with a specific anti-codon) for a particular amino acid; and 'wobble' base-pairing, i.e. permitting non-standard base-pairing at the 3rd anti-codon position. The record is from RNAcentral. Lineage: Bacteria; Pseudomonadati; Pseudomonadota; Alphaproteobacteria; Rhodospirillales; Thalassobaculaceae.